Molecule: small nuclear RNA, 164 nt
Filed under: Jaculus jaculus (lesser Egyptian jerboa)
Lineage: Eukaryota; Metazoa; Chordata; Mammalia; Rodentia; Dipodidae
Description: U1 spliceosomal RNA (ENSJJAG00000004821.1)
Rfam family: U1 spliceosomal RNA
About the family: U1 is a small nuclear RNA (snRNA) component of the spliceosome (involved in pre-mRNA splicing). Its 5' end forms complementary base pairs with the 5' splice junction, thus defining the 5' donor site of an intron. There are significant differences in sequence and secondary structure between metazoan and yeast U1 snRNAs, the latter being much longer (568 nucleotides as compared to 164 nucleotides in human).
Source: RNAcentral
ACGCUUACUAGGCAGGGGAGAUUUCAUGACCUCGAAGAUCGUCUUCCCAAUGUGAGGCUUAUGCGUUGCAUUCAGGUUAUGCUGACCCUUGCGAUUUCCCUGGAUACAGGAAACUGGGCUGUAUAAUUUAUGCCACUGGGGUACUGUUUUCGUGCUCAGGUCAU